This 133-nucleotide ribosomal RNA is filed under the name uncultured bacterium. Its description in RNAcentral is "partial 16S ribosomal RNA". It matches the Rfam family "Bacterial small subunit ribosomal RNA", at positions 1360 to 1501 of the family's 1533-position model. The record is from RNAcentral.
CGGUGAAUACGUUCCCGGACCUUGUACACACCGCCCGUCAAGCCAUGGAAGCCGGGUGUACCUAAAGUCGAUAACCGCAAGGAGUCGCCUAGGGUAAAACUGGUGACUGGGGCUAAGUCGUAACAAGGUACCC